UAGAAGAACAAGUUUUUGAAAAAAUUAAAAAAGUAUGUGUUAGGGCAUAUGGCUGAUUUACAUUGGUUUUUCUCUAUAUAAUUACAAAAUCAGCCAUAUGUUUUUAGUAAAAGCUUACCAGGUAUUAGUAUUUACAAGCAGCGUUUGCACGCAUCGGCUUGUGGGUAGAAGUUUUAUAGAUAAUUUAUUGGCAAUUUAAUAAUUCAUUGGCAUGAAUGCAGCCUUUAUUGCGUUACUUUGAAUCGCAAAGAUUCCUGUUUGGGUCCUCCGGUUGUUUCUUUAAUUUGUCCUGUUCCUCUUUUGUAGCUGGCCGUAGUAGGUCUUGGACCUACGUUGCCGGAGCAGUUUUACGCGUUUUCCUCCACGCUUUUUUUUCUGGGGCUGUUGCGUCUGCUGGCGUGCCCGGAACUCAGCUAUUGUGAGUGGGCGCGGUCCAUCGGAUGGACAAGCCUCUAAAGCCUCCUUUAGACUCGGCUUGUCCCUUUGCUCGAUAGGAGCAGCGUUAAGGAGAUCCGUCUCCAGCUUGUUUUAAACGAUGGCGUAAGGGGCGUCAGGCCUCUCACUCUCGCUCUAUGUAGCGUUGUCGGUGCCUUUUCAGGUUUUUAUCUUCUUUUACUUUUCUUCCACUCUCUUAUUUGAACUUUUUACACCUUUUAUUAUUUGCGUGAAAACUGUUUUUGCAGUAUUAUUUUGUUAUUGUCACAUUUGUUUUGGGUGUAAAUUGUUUUUGCAUAUUAUUUUUGUCAUUGUCACAUUUGUUUUGUGUGUAAAGUGUUUUUGCAGUAUUAUUUUCUGGCCUCACUGUCACGGUCGCCAUGUAGACAUGUUAUAUUUAAUGAUCAAUUUUAAAAAAAUCCGUCUUUCUGGAGUUGUCUUUAUUCAAUGUCUCCGAGUAUAUUUAUUAAAUUCUACUUAGCUGAGGGCAUCGUAGCUGCGCUGCCAGCAACACCGGCAGCGAAGCGGCCGCAUUCAUGUGUUUAACAUAUAUGUAUGCAUAUAUGCCCAGCGCUGCUGAUAGUGGCUGGCGCGAGUGGCAUUUAUGCACAUUCAAACGGAUCAUGUUUGGGUGCCGUCGGUUACGUGAAAGAUGCCGACGUUGCACUCUUGUCCGCGAGGCAUAUUUGUGCGAUCGUAUUACCGUCGCACUCAAGAUAUUUAUGAUUACAUAAACACAUCAACAAGUGUUACAGUGUGUUGUCCCUUAAGAAGUCUUGGUACAGUGGGUAUUGCCUAUGUGUGCAUACUCAACGUGCCCUCUCCUCCAGGCGCACCUUGUCCCCAGCCAGCGCCAUGACGAGCUCGUCAUACCUGUUGGUAGCGACAAGAACGCCCAUGGAGGCUUCGGCGGACAUGCCUCCCUUGAGGACUGCCUCGUUCACCGACAUCCGUAUAGCCGAUAACUCGGCAGUGACAGCUGAAUACCCAGCCGCGACAAUAGUCGUUGCAGGGCAUGUGGCUGCGGCGGCAGCAGUAGAGGUGGCAGCGGCAGCGGCAGCAGUAGUGGUGGCAGCGGUAGUGACAGCGGUAGUGGCAGCAGUGGCGUUGUUGUUAAAAGGCUCAAAAGGGAGCGAUGACGGCGGCGAUCUGCCCGCUGUGAUCGGCGACUCUCCAGUCAUCCCUACUCCAUGGCCGAUCUUUUUGGCUCCCUUAUUGUCUGCCGAAGACUUCGGCCUUCGUUUCAUGCGGACGGGAACGCUCGACGUCGAGCUCGCGCCAGCACUAACCAGGAUAGCCAGGCUAGCGUCCCUGACGUCUCCCUCGGUGUCCACAUCCAUUGUGGCGCCCUCAUUCUUCAGUCUCGAGCACUAAGCACAAGCACAAGCACAAGCACAGGCACAAGCGGUGACACGAACCGACCCGAGUUUCGCACCAUAGUUCGAGCGAAAACUUCGAACGAAAACUUCAAACGAAAGCUUCGAGCGAAAGCUUAGAGCUUCGAACUGCUUGUUUUGCGAAUAAAGCCACGUGGCUUUCUUUUGCGUGUCUUUAUUAACAAAUAUUCAUUUGCUAAUAUCUUCGUCAGUUUGGCACCAAAUUUUAUGAAAGUAGCUAACGCGGAACACACACGGCAAGGUUUAUGAACACUUUCCACAAGGGAAACACACUCUUUCGUACUGAAAAACCGACGGCAAGGUGGAACGCUUAAAAACACUUCUGCUUCCAGUAGCAGUCAGAGAGCAACUGNNNNNNNNNNNNNNNNNNNNNNNNNNNNNNNNNNNNNNNNNNNUUUUUUUUUUUUAUCGCAGAGGAAGGGAAAUCUUCAAAAGAUACCAAAAGGGAGCCACUCCCUUUUAGCAUGCACGAUUCAUGAAUUUACUUCAACAAGUUGAAGCUCAUCACGAAUACGUACUAAAACCGACCUCUAGUUAUACACCAGCGAUGUUUAUAC
RNAcentral lists this long non-coding RNA (2389 nucleotides) under Drosophila guanche. The record is from RNAcentral. Lineage: Eukaryota; Metazoa; Arthropoda; Insecta; Diptera; Drosophilidae.